UCUAACUAGACACAAAGUAUUUAUUGUAUCCCGAAAGAACUAAAUCGGAACUAUACACGGAAUUUAUUAACAAUUAUUUCAUUUUACAUAUAUUUUGAAGUAAGUUGAACACUUACCGUCACAACACAUAAACUGGAUCCAGGAGAAAUAAGAAAGGAAAUAUUAAAACAGUCCCGACUUCAAAACUAUUCUGUUAAAAUGCAGAGCGAACGAUUUGUUAAGAUCAAAAGCUUUUGGGAAAAAAAAGCAAGAGGAGAGAAAAACAAUAUAAUUUCAAAAAAUGUACAAAUAGAUACAUGUAAUACUGUCCAUUGCACAAUUCGACCGAAAUGCACACAUUUGAACAGACAGACAGCCGAUGAGACCCUUGAGACAGCUAUAAAUACUAAGUGUCGGAGGAGACAAGAAGAGUCCGUUAAUACUUUUCUAGCUGGUGUAGGCGUUGUCGGAUUUUGCUUUGUUGUGAUCAAGAUGUUAAUGCCACAUGCGGUAAUCAUUGGCUCAUUCAUGUCGUGAACUAAUAACCUAGUUACCAUUCCUAGUAACGUUUAACAAUACAUAACUUAUAAAAAGAUCAGGCUUUUAUUUCGUUUGCCUUAAUCUGAAAAAUUUUGUCGAAGUGAAACAAAGACGAGUCAGGUCGAGCUUUUACAUUUGAUACGGAUACUGCUACAGUACAUGCAUAAGGUUUGAUGUUUACAAUAGAUACGUACGUCAUGGGCAGUCUUUCAGUGAAUUUUCAGAUUUAUCCUCCGCGGUAAAGUCUGUACUGUACGGAAAAUUCGCUUGCAGGCAAUCCAGUAUUGUUCAGUAGCUUUUAGAAAAUUCAGUGUUCCUGAUCUGUAAAGGUACAUUAUUACCUCUGAACAGUCUGCAAAUAGACUGAACAGACUUCAAUUGACUGCAGUACUGAAUUUACCGCAGACCACAAGUCUGAAGAUUGAAAAAUUGUAAAUUACUGUAUAAUGUGUUGUUCAAUCUUUUAAGAGCUAUUUCAGAUUAAAAUGGCCAUUUAUGACCAGCCACAUACUCCGCAAUAAUCGUAUUUAGCAGUUAUAUCAGUCCACACUAAACAUGUAAUAUCGCUGUGUAUCUCAUUCUCAAAAAUUUUGUGAUCGCAAUUUGUUCACAUAAGCUCACAAUGGACCACUCUAUAAAUUGUUAACAUUUUCUUACCAGAUUAUACUAGUAUUCAAAGUGUAAAUACAAGUACUGUUCAUUAAAUUUUAAAUUUUUAGACA
Molecule: long non-coding RNA, 1241 nt
Organism: Mytilus californianus (California mussel)
Lineage: Eukaryota; Metazoa; Mollusca; Bivalvia; Mytilida; Mytilidae
Exons: 2
Source: RefSeq, a predicted model, not a curated record